Molecule: ribosomal RNA, 1152 nt
Filed under: Bacillus sp. (in: firmicutes)
Lineage: Bacteria; Bacillati; Bacillota; Bacilli; Caryophanales; Bacillaceae
Description: bacterial SSU rRNA
Rfam family: Bacterial small subunit ribosomal RNA
Source: RNAcentral
ACAGAUGGGAGCUUGCUCCCUGAUGUUAGCGGCGGACGGGUGAGUAACACGUGGGUAACCUGCCUGUAAGACUGGGAUAACUCCGGGAAACCGGGGCUAAUACCGGAUGGUUGUUUGAACCGCAUGGUUCAAACAUAAAAGGUGGCUUCGGCUACCACUUACAGAUGGACCCGCGGCGCAUUAGCUAGUUGGUGAGGUAAUGGCUCACCAAGGCAACGAUGCGUAGCCGACCUGAGAGGGUGAUCGGCCACACUGGGACUGAGACACGGCCCAGACUCCUACGGGAGGCAGCAGUAGGGAAUCUUCCGCAAUGGACGAAAGUCUGACGGAGCAACGCCGCGUGAGUGAUGAAGGUUUUCGGAUCGUAAAGCUCUGUUGUUAGGGAAGAACAAGUACCGUUCGAAUAGGGCGGUACCUUGACGGUACCUAACCAGAAAGCCACGGCUAACUACGUGCCAGCAGCCGCGGUAAUACGUAGGUGGCAAGCGUUGUCCGGAAUUAUUGGGCGUAAAGGGCUCGCAGGCGGUUUCUUAAGUCUGAUGUGAAAGCCCCCGGCUCAACCGGGGAGGGUCAUUGGAAACUGGGGAACUUGAGUGCAGAAGAGGAGAGUGGAAUUCCACGUGUAGCGGUGAAAUGCGUAGAGAUGUGGAGGAACACCAGUGGCGAAGGCGACUCUCUGGUCUGUAACUGACGCUGAGGAGCGAAAGCGUGGGGAGCGAACAGGAUUAGAUACCCUGGUAGUCCACGCCGUAAACGAUGAGUGCUAAGUGUUAGGGGGUUUCCGCCCCUUAGUGCUGCAGCUAACGCAUUAAGCACUCCGCCUGGGGAGUACGGUCGCAAGACUGAAACUCAAAGGAAUUGACGGGGGCCCGCACAAGCGGUGGAGCAUGUGGUUUAAUUCGAAGCAACGCGAAGAACCUUACCAGGUCUUGACAUCCUCUGACAAUCCUAGAGAUAGGACGUCCCCCUUCGGGGGCAGAAGUGACAGGUGGUGCAUGGUUGUCGUCAGCUCCUGGUCGUGAGAUGUUGGGUUAAGUCCCGCAACCGAGCGCAACCCUUGAUCUUAGUUGCCAGCAUUCAGUUGGGCACUCUAAGGUGACUGCCGGUGACAAACCGGAGGAAGGUGGGGAUGACGUCAAAUCCAUCAUGCCC